ACGAACGCUGGCGGCGUGCCUAAUACAUGCAAGUCAACGGCUUUUCUAUGGAAGCUUGCUUCCGACUGAGAAGAUAGUGGCGAACGGGUGAGUAACACGUGGGUAGCCUGCCCAUAAGAGGGGGAUAACAUCCGGAAACGGGUGCUAAUACCGCAUAGUUUUCUUGAUUGCAUGAUUGAGAAGGAAAGACGGCCUUUGUGCUGUCGCUUAUGGAUGGACCCGCGGCGUAUUAGUUAGUUGGUGAGGUAACGGCUCACCAAGACGAUGAUACGUAGCCGACCUGAGAGGGUGAUCGGCCACAUUGGGACUGAGACACGGCCCAAACUCCUACGGGAGGCAGCAGUAGGGAAUCUUCCGCAAUGGACGAAAGUCUGACGGAGCAACGCCGCGUGAGUGAAGAAAGGUUUUCGGAUCGUAAAACUCUGUUGUCAGAGAAGAACAAGUUGGAGAGUAACUGCUCCAGCCUUGACGGUAUCUGACCAGAAAGCCACGGCUAACUACGUGCCAGCCGCUGC
This 515-nucleotide ribosomal RNA is filed under the name uncultured bacterium. RNAcentral's name for it is "bacterial SSU rRNA". It matches the Rfam family "Bacterial small subunit ribosomal RNA", at positions 29 to 518 of the family's 1533-position model. The record is from RNAcentral.